CUACGGGGCGCUCCAGUGGGGAAUAUUGGACAAUGGGGGAAACCCUGAUCCAGCAAUGCCGCGUGUGUGAAGAAGGCCUGCGGGUUGUAAAGCACUUUCGGUUGGGAGGACUGCUUCUAGCACUAAUAUUGUUGGAAGUUGACGUUACCUUCAGAAGAAGCACCGGCUAACUCCGUGCCACGCAGCCGCGGGUAAUACGGAGGGUGCAAGCGUUAAUCGGAAUUACUGGGCGUAAAGCGCGCGUAGGCGGCUAGAUCAGUCGGGUGUGAAAGCCCCGGGCUUAACCUGGGAACUGCAUCCGAUACUGUCUAGCUUGAGUGCAGGAGAGGAGAGUGGAAUUCCACAUGUAGCGGUGAAAUGCGUAGAUAUGUGGAGGAACACCAAUGGCGAAGGCAGCUCUCUGGCCCGAUACUGACGCUGAGGUGCGAAAGCGUGGGGAGCAAACAGGAUUAGAUACCCCUGUAGUC
Molecule: ribosomal RNA, 467 nt
Filed under: uncultured bacterium
Lineage: Bacteria
Description: partial 16S ribosomal RNA
Rfam family: Bacterial small subunit ribosomal RNA
Source: RNAcentral